AUUGAACGCUGGCGGAAUGCUUUACACAUGCAAGUCGAACGGCAGCACGGACUUCGGCCUGGUGGCGAGUGGCGAACGGGUGAGUAAUGUAUCGGAACGUGCCCAGUCGUGGGGGAUAACGUAGUGAAAAUUACGCUAAUACCGCAUACGAUCUAUGGAUGAAAGCGGGGGAUCGCAAGACCUCGCGCGAUUGGAGCGGCCGAUAUCAGAUAAGGUAGUUGGUGGGGUAAAGGCCCACCAAGCCAACGAUCUGUAGCUGGUCUGAGAGGACGACCAGCCACACUGGAACUGAGACACGGUCCAGACUCCUACGGGAGGCAGCAGUGGGGAAUUUUGGACAAUGGGCGAAAGCCUGAUCCAGCCAUUCCGCGUGCAGGAUGAAGGCCCUCGGGUUGUAAACUGCUUUUGUACAGAACGAAAAGGUUUCUACUAAUACUAGGAGCUCAUGACGGUACUGUAAGAAUAAGCACCGGCUAACUACGUGCCAGCCGCCGCGGUAA
This 500-nucleotide ribosomal RNA is filed under the name uncultured bacterium. Its description in RNAcentral is "partial 16S ribosomal RNA". It matches the Rfam family "Bacterial small subunit ribosomal RNA", at positions 30 to 523 of the family's 1533-position model. The record is from RNAcentral.